GUUCUUGAUAGUGGGCAGGGGUCUCCGAAGAGAGGGGUGGUGAGGGAGGAAAGAGCCCCUUCAGGAGAAGGAGGCCACCAUUGUGUGAAUUAGAUGAGGAAACAAGGAGUGCAUUCCCCAGCCCAGGAGCAGCUACAGAGAAGGCCCGCCUCUGAGUUGCCACCAGACGUACUGGUGAUAACUGGAGACGGACCUCCUCAGAUGACCUUCACGUGCGGUAGGGAUCGUGCAGAAGAAGGUGCUCUUAAGGUUAAGUUGAACUUCUGAGCCUUUUGGAGAAUGAACAGCUCAUGGUGACAGAAGGUUCUCAUUUCACCUCCUUGCUUCCAGAUUGCAUUGAGAAUCCCUGGUGCAUUCAUUAUGGGAUGAAAAAAGAGCUAAAUAGCAUGGCACUUGAAAAAGAAUUCCCAUCAGGCUGAGCCUUCUCAGUGGCCCCUCCUAGCUUGUGGAACAUGCUCUCCAUGGGAAUAAGAAGAUUCUCAUCCCCGGAGGCCUUCGGGAGAGCCAUAAAGACCCCCCUUUCAGCUUGGCUUUUAAUAAUAUGUAAGUGGUUUUAAUGGUUCUAAAUGAGUUUUAUGUUAAUGUUUUAAAUGGUUUAAUUUUAUGUUUUAUGCUAAUAUUUUAAAUGGCUUUAUUUCUAUUGUCAUCU
Molecule: long non-coding RNA, 649 nt
Organism: Hemicordylus capensis (graceful crag lizard)
Lineage: Eukaryota; Metazoa; Chordata; Lepidosauria; Squamata; Cordylidae
Exons: 4
Source: RefSeq, a predicted model, not a curated record